This 281-nucleotide long non-coding RNA is filed under the name Elaeis guineensis (African oil palm). Its description in RNAcentral is "long non-coding RNA (EGUI_LNC047538)". Lineage: Eukaryota; Viridiplantae; Streptophyta; Magnoliopsida; Arecales; Arecaceae. The record is from RNAcentral.
GGGUAAAUGCAAUCUCACAUUGGGUUAGCCAUGAGACUUUUUGGGUCUAGUCACAUUGACAUUGUAUAUAAGAUACAUUAUGUGUGGAUUUGAUUAAGCAAAUUAAUAGAAUAUUUUUUUCUUCCUCAACUUUCUCUCUCUUCCUAUCUUUUUCAUGCCACCAGUAGCAAGAAAUCUUAGGGUUUCUUGGCUGCCACACCAAGAUAGGAAAGAAAGGAUGCGCUAGGGUUUCUAGCACCCCCUAAAAAUUGCCACCCCCUUGUGCCCUCCUUAGCCGCCCA